This is a long non-coding RNA of Artibeus jamaicensis (Jamaican fruit-eating bat), 276 nucleotides long. RefSeq lists it as uncharacterized. The transcript has 3 exons. NCBI's taxonomy places the organism in Eukaryota, Metazoa, Chordata, Mammalia, Chiroptera, Phyllostomidae. The record is from RefSeq and is a predicted model, not a curated record.
GGCAGCCUCCACAGAAAGAUGUUACUCUGAACUGGGGCCCAGCCUCAGACAAAAGCCCUUUUGGAGUCUUUGGUGCAUUCAUGCGUGCGUGUGAAUGCUGAAAAUCACAACAUUGAAGUCCCUCGAUGUGUUUUGCUUGGUCCUCACAGAUUUCACAUUUAAUGCAUAUGCACGAGCAAGAGGAAAAGCACUGAGGAGACUCCCUUAUGGCCUCUGGAAUAAACCGCCCCGGACAGCACCUCGAUUCCUGACUUCCUGCCACUCAAACUGUGAGAC